UGGGGAAUUUUGGACAAUGGGGGCAACCCUGAUCCAGCCAUGCCGCGUGAGUGAAGAAGGCCUUCGGGUUGUAAAGCUCUUUCAGCCGGGAAGAAAUUGCACUCUCUAAUACAGGGUGUGGAUGACGGUACCGGAAUAAGAAGCACCGGCUAACUACGUGCCAGCAGCCGCGGUAAUACGUAGGGUGCGAGCGUUAAUCGGAAUUACUGGGCGUAAAGCGUGCGCAGGCGGUUUGAUAAGAUAGGCGUGAAAUCCCCGGGCUUAACCUGGGAACUGCGCUUAUGACUGUCUCACUAGAGUACGGCAGAGGGGGGUGGAAUUCCACGUGUAGCAGUGAAAUGCGUAGAGAUGUGGAGGAACACCGAUGGCGAAGGCAGCCCCCUGGGCCGAUACUGACGCU
This 400-nucleotide ribosomal RNA is filed under the name uncultured bacterium. RNAcentral's name for it is "bacterial SSU rRNA". It matches the Rfam family "Bacterial small subunit ribosomal RNA", at positions 355 to 747 of the family's 1533-position model. The record is from RNAcentral.